RNA transcript from Phyllopteryx taeniolatus (common seadragon), 8120 nucleotides. It is a transcript of the gene named centrosomal protein 112, with no coding region annotated. The transcript is spliced from 25 exons. The record is from RefSeq and is a predicted model, not a curated record. Lineage: Eukaryota; Metazoa; Chordata; Actinopteri; Syngnathiformes; Syngnathidae.
CAGACUAAAAAACUAGCGAAGAAGAAGGUUUCCAUAGCAACCGUCAUGGGAACCGGAAGUGGCGUAGGGCGGGGGACGCUGAGAUUUUGAAUGGAAGUCAACUCUGUAGCGCUUCUCAAGGAGGUGAUGAACAAAAAUGAGGAUUGGGUGGAAAGACUCAACUCGGAAUUGAACAAUUGCGUUCUAGAGAUGAAACCGUAUGUCCUCAAACACCCCAACAAGACUGAGCGUCAGCACUGCGCCCUGUGGAUAAAGAAGCUGUGCGACCCGGCAACAUGCGGCUCAAGUCUUCCGGGUCACAAGAACCGAAAUCUGCACGCCCGUUUGCUUCUUCACAUGCUUAAACGAGGCGUCCUGGAAGGCCCGUUUGCCAGCAGACCACAUGCCGGCAGCCUCAAGACACUUCCCGCGUACAUGUCCAUUUACUUUGACGAGCCACUGAUUGGUCGGCCCGUGGACCACAGCAAAGCGACUCUGCCCGCCUGGGUGGCGGGAGAGCUGGGCGACUGCGCCGAUGACAGUUUGGGUGCCGCCCUGCUGAAGGACAGAACCACUUCCACGCCAAAUGCUGCUUUUACCAGGGCCAGCCAUUUGAAUGAGGAGAAGACCCCACGAGGAGAGAGCGCCUCCAGCCCACGCAAGUCCUCACCCAGACAUGAAGGCAGAGCGGGGGAUGCGGGGCAGAUGUCUCCCGACGACGGCGACCCGGGGGCACGACUCAACAGCUGGAACCUGGAGUUCGAGAACCCGAGGUACUUGCGAGAAAAAACUAUGCCCCUGUCGCCGCUUUUCAAGUCCAGCCUGGUAAGGAACAGCGCCUUGACUGAUGAUGUGGACUUGCAGCUUCUGGAGAGCAAGGAGGUCGACAUGAGGGUGAAAGUUUUGGAGUCCAAGCAUCAGGAGGAGAAACUAAAACAGCAGCAGAAACACGAUGCAGAUGUCGACAAAAUUCUGCAGCGACGGAAUGUGGAGAUUAGCGAGUUGAAGAGUCGACAUCGGGCCCAGCUGAAGGAAGCCGAGGAGAUGAUCCACAAACUGGAGUGGAAAGUUCAAAGUGUGCUGAAGGAAUCCCAGGUCAUCUGCGAGAGCAAAGACGAGCAGAUUGCCGAGCUGAAGAAGAUGACAGAUCAGAGCGCCGACUGCUUGAAAAAUGAGUGGGAGAAGAAGCUGCACGCAGCGGUGGCCGAGGUGGAGAAGGAGAAGUUUGAAUUGCGGAAGAAGCACACCGACGACAUCCAGGAGCUGCUGGAGAACACCAAGAUGAGGCUGGUGAAGAUGGAGGCCGAGUAUAACGCUCGGUCACAAUCCACCGUGCAAACGGCCCGCGAGCUGGAGCAGCAAGUGAAAAAGCAGCGUGCCGACGUGGAGAAGAGCAACGCGUCGCUUCAGAAGGUCACGCAGGAGAAGGCCCAGCUGGAGAGCCGCCUUGCGGCCGUCGCUGCCCAACUGCAGGAGGCCAACAGAAGAAUGACGGUCCUCCAGAAAGAGGAGGCUGAGCAGAGCGCGUUGUUUGAGGAGACUUUGCAGAAGUUCCAAGCCAAACACGAGGCCGAUUUGAACCAUUUACACCAGGAGCACGCUCUGUCUGCCGCCAAGGCCUCUGAGGUGAUGGAGCACUUUGAGAAAAGUAUUGCUCAGCUCAAUCAGCAGCUCCUGGUCAGUGAACAUCAGAGACAGACACAAGUUCGGGAUCGGGAUUUGAAGUUCCGGGAGGAAAAAGAUGAGCUGCAGAUCAACUAUGACAAAAAGGUUCUGGCGCUGCACAAUGAGGUGGAGAAAGAGAGAACACAGUCCAAGAGGAAGAUAGCCAAACUAGAGGAUGCACUCAGAGACGCGGCGAACCGGCUGGACCGAACCACAGAGAGCCAUCGUGUGCGCCUCCGACAGGCCGACACGGCGCUGGAGCAAUUCAGGAGGCGGGUGAAGCUCAGCUCCGAGAAGGCCGAGGCUGAACUCAAGCUCCAGAUGGAGAAGGUGGAGGAGGACCUGCAGCACUCCAGGUGUCUCCGUGAAAAUCAGUCCAAGGAGUUCUCGCUACAACUCGACACCCUCCGACAAAAAUACGAGCAGCAGAUGGCUGAGCAGCGCGUGCAGCACGAGCAGGAGAGGACGCGCCUGCAACAGCAGCAUUGCGCCGACAAGGACAGCCUGGUCCAGGAGCGCCAGCGGGAGGUGAGCAGCCUGGAGAGCCAGGCGAGGGCCGCCCUGCAGACGCACCAGCGGCACACCCGGGAGGGGAGGAAGCGUGACGGCCAGACAAUUUCGGAGUUGGAGGCCCAGUUGUCGUGUUUGCGCGAGGAGCUCCAGGCGGCCGGCGUCCAGCACGAGCAACAGCUGGCCGAGAUGGCCGCGCUCCGCGAGGAGGGAAAGCAAAGGGCUCACCUGGACAGAGAGACGCUCCGCUGCGACACGGAACGCAUCGUCCGUGACUUUAAGAGAAGGCACCAGCAGGAGAAGGAAGCGGCCGAAGAGAAGACCAACAGCAGGUUGAAGCACAUUGAGAAGGAGUACAGCCAGACGCUUGCCAGGUCUGCACAGAUAAUUGCGGAGCUCCAACAGUCGGUGCGCAGCUGGAAGGAGGAAGCCGUCGGUCUGCAGCAGGCGAUGAAGAGGCAGCGGGAGGAGGCCAACGAUCGAUGGGCGCAAGACAGGAGAAAUCUAACCCGGCGGGCCGAGCAGGCCGACAAGUUUUCUGCGAGGACAUCGGAUCCUCCCGCAUCGCGCCGGACCGUUUCCCAAUGAUCCCAGCCCGCAUGGCAGAUAACGAGCGUAUCGCUCCGAGCAUCUGGACGAGCUUAACCGCAAUCCUCCGCACGCACACAGUACAAUCAGACAUUGAACUGCUUGAGUUUCAAUACAAAAUUGGGGCAUUGUAAAACUUCGGACCCACUUCAUGCCAGCGACGAAUGGCAAGCGGUAAUGAAAUGCUCUUGCAGAAGAACACCAAAAACACGUCAGACAUACAAGAGAAUCAUUUUGUGAGUAGAUCAACUUUUUGUCAAAGCGGGAGCUCGCAAUUCGCGGCUCCCAAGCAAAAUGGCUUCCAUCUUCUCCAGUGAUGUCAUUUCUAUAAAACUAUCAAACGAAACUGGCUGCCAUGUUUUUAUUCCAUCUGUUUUUUUGUGAGCAUGUUUGCGUGAUCAAACAUAAUAAUGCUUUUAGUGUCUAUAAAAAGUUGUUUUCGGGCACGGCUUCAAAACGAGGCCAAGCAGACGACGGCCAGCAAAAGUCGUCAGUCUUGUCCUUACCUCGUUUCCCCCCGCCCCCGAUUCCGAGACGGCGGCUCUUUGGCUGCAUCCGCGCUACUAACCUGUUUGGGCGCCACCAAUGUUUGCAAGCUGUUAGUCCCCGUAUCGCUUUUUGACACACGCCACCGCCGUGGUUUGUUUUAUCUGGCGCAGGUGUUUCGGUUUGAAGAUUGGCACGAUGGCUUUGCGUGAUAACGACGCCGUCUUCCCGCCGUGGCAGUUUUAGCUGUGUAAAAAAAAACUCCAACUUUGGUGGAAUUUGCUCAUAAUCUUUGCGGGCGCCACCGAUGUUUACAAACUGUCAGUCAACCUUUCACUUUACGUGGCACGUAAAACGACGCCCUGAAGCUGCCGCCGUCCGACUGUUUGAUGUGCCGUGCCGUGCCGUGCCGUGGUAGCAUUAUCGCUUUGAAGCUUUGAGAAAGGAAUUUGCGUAAUAACGACGCUGUAUUGCCGCCAAUGCAGCUGCCAGGCAAAGGUUGUAAAACUGGUGAAACGGGGAGUUUUGCUCUGCUGCACCUCGUCGGCAACUUUUUCGAUGGCACGAGCUUGGUUGCGUGACGCUGAUGACAUCACUUUUUCCUCAUGAAAAUCUUCUUUUCCUUUGGGCUCGUCCCUUUAGGGGUCGCCGCAGCGCGCCGUACUUUUCCAUGUAAGCGUCCUUUUCUCCUGCAUCCUCCUCUGGAACACCAAGUGCCCUCAUGUCUUCCCUCACGACAUCCAUCGACCUUCUCUUUGGUCUUCCUCUCGCUCUCUUGCCUGGCAGCUCCAUCCUCAUCAUCCUUCUACCAAGAUACUGACUCUCUCUCCUCUGGACGUGUCCAAACCAUCCAAGUCUGCUCUCUCUAACUUUGUCUCCAAAACAUCUCACCUCGGCCGUCCCUCCGAUGGGACUCAUUUCUAAUUUGAUCCAACCUGGUCACUCCGAGAGCGAACCUCAACAUCUUCAUUUCCGCCACCUCCAGCUCUGCUUCCUGUUGUCUCUUCAGUGCCACUGUCUCUACUCCGUCCAUCAUGGCCGGCCUCACCACUGUCUUCUAAACUUUGCUGCCCUUGAUCCUAGCAGAGACUCUUCUGUCACAGAACACACCUGACACCUUCCUCCACCCGUUCCGACCUGCUCGGACCCGUUUCUUCACUUCCUGACCACACUCCCCAUUGCUCUGGACGGUUGACCCCAAGUAUCUAAAGUCCUCCACCCUUGCUAUCUCUUCUCCCUGUCGCCUCACUCUCCCCCCACCACUUCUCUCAUUCAUGCACAUAUAUUCUGUCUUACUUGGGCCCAUCUUCAUUCCUCUGCAUUCCAGUGCAUGCCUCCAACUUUCGAACUGUUCCUCCAGCUGCUCCCUGCUUUCAGUGCAGCUCACAAUGUCAUCUGCAAACAUCAGUCUAACCUCAUCUGUCAGCGUGUCCAUCACCACUGCAAACAGGAAGGGGCUCAGGGCCGAUCCCUGAUGCGGUCGCACCUCCACCUUAAAUUCGUCUGUCACACCUACAGCACACCUCACCGCUGUUCUGCUGCCCUCGUACAUGUCCUGUAUUAUUCUACCAGACGUCCGCAUGCAGUAGCACAGCUCCUCUCUGGGUACUCUGUCAUAGGCUUUCUCGAGAUCUACAAAGACACAAUGGAGCUCCUUCUGACCUUCUCUGUACUUUUCCAUCAACAUCCUCAAGGCAAAUAAUGCAUCUGUGGUACUCUUUCUAGGCAUGAAACCAUACUGUUGCUCGCAAAUACUCACUUCUGUCCUGAGUCAGAAGUCUCAGCCUCCACUACUCUUUCCCAUAACUUCAUUGUGUGGCAGUAGACGUUGCACUUUAUCUUCUUUUUUAAAUGAUCAAAUGAUCCCACACUUUUUGGACAUUGUCUUUCUUUGAUGGCACUCUUUGUUCCCGUCACGCACUUGCAAGGUUGUUAGUUUGAGGCGCAUCUGUUGGUUGAAUUUCACGGAAUGUUCCACCUAACGGACGAGCUGUCCCGCGUCUCAGUUGCCGCAAUCCUCGCAACUCCUCCUCGAUGUUUUUCGGUGAAACGCAGCCUUUGAUUCCCGAUAAACAAAAUAGAAUGAUGAAAUCGCCGGCAACGGUGGUAGCGACGUGGACAGCGAUGGCGAGCGUCUGCAAAGUGGCCUGAUUAAGAAGAUCAAGACGGGAAACGGCAGCUCUUUUUUUUUCCAUGUUGUCUGUUGAUCUGCGAAUGAUUCGCCGCGAGUUUCGAGCUCUCCGUUGCAUGAGAGGAAGGACAGCAGGCACGGUGUGUGUGUGUGUGUGUGUGUGUGUUUUUAAUGGUUUUCUAAUGAUCAAAGACCGUGAUGGCGCACGGAAAGAGAAAAUGUCAUGUCACAAACUGGGACUCGCAACAAAUGUGCCGUCUGCUUUUCGUUUUGCCCUUCAAACAAGUACAGCGCAACGAAAUUCAAACGGCGUAAAGAUUGUACAAAUCGGGAGUUUCAACUCCAUUUUCGGGAACAGUUGGCCGCAAAUAUUCAGUGAGAUGAAAAUGGACGGAUGGAUGUGUUUCGGGCUGUUUGGUGAUGCCACCACAGACGGGCAAAGAGGAAAACAGGAAAUGGAUGCUCUGCACAAUAGGAGCAAUACAAUGAAUUCAGUAUCAAUUAAGCGGAUAAAUGUAUUUGUAAAUCUGCACACAAACAACACGAGGGGACAGAAACAUCUUUCUGUCUUUAGAAGGUGAGUUCCUUUCUUUUGUUUUCGUUUUAUUUAGUUGUAUUAUGCAGCGAUUCUCAAAAUGUGUUUUUUUUUUAAACUCCCUCUAGUGGUAUCCAAAAGAAUCACCGCCUAAUCGCGCUUCAACUGUAUUUCACUUUUAAAAUCUAAAUAUUUGAAAUGAGUGUUGAAGAACAGCUUGUUUGUAAGCAUUUAGUUCAUUUUUUAUAUGAAGAUUUUAUGCGUAAUAUCGUUGAAGUCAAGAUUUGUUUUUCCUAUAAAUGUUGAUAUUCAAACUGUGCACAAUGUUAGAGUGGCUUCAAAUAUGAAAAUUGCUAUUCAGGAAGAAAACUUGUCAUCGUGUCCUUCCUGGAACGCGGCCUUCGGGUUGUCGUCGUCGUCGUCGUCGUCAUCUUCCGUACACGUGGGCCUCAAAUGGCUUUCGUUUUUUUGUAAAUGUUCGGAAUUAAUAAUGUUCCUGUGUGCGUAUCGGAGUACGUUUUGUUUUCUCAUGACCUCGCCUAGCUGGGCCAAAGUUUGAAGUAUCGGUUCUUUCUCCAGUAGUAGCGGACAAACAAACCGCUGCGUGGUUUUGUCAAGAGCGGAACCCGCGAAAUGUGCGACGCGUUGGCGAACGGCGGGCAAAGGGAGGGGGGAUGAAACGCCGACAAACGCCGAUGGCUUCAUGUCUGUCCGAAUGAUGCGUAAAACAAAAUUCAAGAAAGGGACAACAACUUUCUCACGCGAACUAACUUUUCUACACUAUUCCGAUUUAUUGACAUACACCUUUGUUAACCGUGAAAGUUCAAAAGACGCAUCGUCGCGCGGUCGCUGCCCGUUUUGCGUUCCGGGAAGCGCGAGAAAUCAGCUCGCACCUGGCCUCACUCGUCUCACUGAGCGACGACGGAGGUCAGUGAUGCUCGUGACGCCCCGCCCCUCACACGCUUGUUGCUACGUGUGUGCGCGUGUGCCUUGCACUCUCCAAAAUCCAAGCCGACGUGUCCACAUGCGCGUUCCAAACGUCUGCUUUUGGGCUCCACGCACAAUCGGCACCAUUCUUUCCGUUCACGCAAACAACGCAUUCAUGACUUUCUUUCCUCUCCGUCCUUUUUUUCUCUUCUUUUCUUGUCGGAUUCUUUAAAAGAGGCAAAUUGAGCCUCCAGAUGGGAAAUGUAAUCAACUUAAUGCCCCGCUUCUAUUGCCUCCAAAUAUAAACAGAUAACAAUUCCAUUAACGAUCGGCUCGGCGACGCCUGCGAAGGUUUGCUGAUCCCCAGAGCGAGAAAGUCUCGGCUGUGGUCUUUUAACAAUGAGGUCAGCUUUGCCGUAAUGACUGUUGUGACAUAAUUAGGAGCCGUCAACACGGGGAGCAAUUGGGUUUGAUCGCAAAAUAGACGUGCUUUGACGCCAAUCGGCUAACUCCUGUCCAACUUUGUGCAAACUGUUUGGGGAAAGCCCUUUUCUUUUCAAGCGUGACGGCGCUUAGAUAAGUUCGCAGCGCUAAAACCCGAGAGUCCUGAUCUGUGAAGCCGGGCCAUCUCGUCCACAAUCUUGUACAAAGUCUUCCCUGAGGAGAGGAGGCACGUUUCUUUUGUUUCCACUUCCUGUCUGGAUUGUUAUUGCGAGCAGCCUAAUGUGACCGCGGGAAAGGACUAAGCGGCGGCAGCCCCCAAAACGCUGACUGGAGUGUCCGUAGCAGUACGCACCCAAGUCACUCAAAACCAACCUAUAAUGAAUGAUAACACACAACAAACAUCGGGAGAGUUUGUUGUUUUCCUGCAUUGCAAUUCCAAAGCCGGCGGCCGAUGUUCAGCUGCUCACGAGAACUAGUUGCCGAACAGUUUAGUCGCUUUGCAUCGCUCGGUGCGCGGUGCGCCUUGGUGGGAAAAAAAUGCUUGCAAAGAUGUCUCAAAAAGUAAAGAAAAUUGUAAUUGUGGAACAGAUUUUCAACCUUUUUUUUUUUUUUUUUUUUUUUAAAUCCAUUUAUCAAGCAACGUUGAUGUUGUUGCACUCUAUUUACUUGAGUGGGCCACAAACAAAUGGAUGCGGCGGGCAGGAUGUGGCCCCCGGGCCUUGAGUUUGACAAAUGUGUUUUCGGAGCGCCCGUCUGCGAUUUUUGCCAGCCGCCUGCUUCGUCUUUCCUCGCCGUCCUCACCGCGUGGGUCCCGCGCUCGCCUCGAGCCGACGGCGCUCACCGUCUUCUGCCUUC